GAGGGCCUGGACACUAAGGGAAGGGUUUUGGGCGUCGUAGCGUUUGGUCGGGCAGAGCCUGGGCCUCUUCUCGGUGGGGGAGGGCAGGGGAUAUUUAUGGGGCGGAAGGGAUGGAAGAAGAGGUUGUGUGUGUAUGGUUGUCUCGUUGUUGGUUGUUUCUUGUCUCAUGGUAUUGUUGAUCGGCAUCGGUGUGUCUCUCUAGCUGCCUUCUCGGAAUCGAAAUCGGUAGCGGAUCGUGUCGUGUGGUGGCGUGGUGGUGGUCGUGGAUGUAUUCGUGCGUACCGCGCGACCCGGUAGCGGUAGGUGCCUCCGCGCCCGCACCUGGGGUUGGACGGCCUCGUGGCGGUCCUCCUCCGGUUCGCGCACGACCGGGCCACGGACGUCCAGCCGCAGCUGGACGAGGCCCGACCACGCUGCCGCGACCUGCAGCACCUCCGGCACCACGCCCUCGACCUCUGCCUGGGGACGAAGUUGAGCCCGGCGCCGAGGCGCGAGUGUGCGCGGCCGUGGCAGCUCUACCUCCGGUCGUAGUACCUGCCGGCGCCGGCGGCGACGCCGCGGCAGAGGCCACACAGGUGGCAAUUUUUGGGGCACAGGGACCGGGCCGCGCAGUACCUGUUCAGGGGUGUGAGGAUGGAGCGGAAGCUGCCGCGGCUCCUAAAGCGCGCGCUCGUCCCGGACCUCCAACACCUAUUGUCGAUGAAGUAGUGCCUCCUCUUGCACCCGUACGAGUUCGAGCGGUUCCUCCGGUUGUCGUAGGAGAAGCUGAUGGCGUAGGGCGACCGCCCGUGGCUGUGAACGUCGCGCGUCCGUCGCCGCCACCUCCCGGUGCCGUCGUUGCCGUACCACUACUUGCCCGACGGGUAGUCGUAGAUGCGCGUCCUCUGCCAGCCCACGCGCCACCACCUGAGAUUGCCGAAGUGCCGUCGCCGGUGGAGCUGGCCGCCCGAGUACUUGUUCUACUGCCCGGCGUAGCCGCUGAGCGGGGAGUAGCCGCGGCCGUGGAUGCGCACGCCCGUGACGCGACACAGCACGUGGCCGCUCCCGCUCCGGUAGUAGGCGAGGUGCGACCGCGCCCUGCACCGCCGGCAGUACCUCAUGUUCCCGGAGGGCGACGUCCUCCGGCACCUGAAGACGCAGUUCCUCGCCGACCUGCUCCCCAAGCGCCCCGAGUAGCGGCACAGGCCGUGGCCGCUCCACCGCAUGCCCAAGUUGACGUGGCCGUACAAGUCCCCGACGCGGUGGCUCCUGCCGAAGUACCUCCAGCCGUAGACCCUCACUUCGCGCACGCGACCGGUCUUGAGACUUCUAUCACACGCACGCAAGCACACAGACGUAAACCCGUAGGACGUUAACGGUACACCAAGGUCAGACCCUAGGACUAAAUCAUCGUCAUCAUCACCUAGCCCCUAACCUCUAACCCUCCUUAUUAAUACUACUACUGCUAACACUACCGGCACCUUUUAUUAUUACACUUUUCAAGAUACCGAAGACUUUAAUGGACGGAACCAGUCAAGAGUGAGCAAGACUUUUGAAGAAGUCAGAUUCUUGAACACAAUGCGCGUCAGACCUCGCCACCGAACUUUGACUC
RNAcentral lists this ribosomal RNA (1591 nucleotides) under Triticum aestivum (bread wheat). RNAcentral's name for it is "partial small subunit ribosomal RNA". The record is from RNAcentral. Lineage: Eukaryota; Viridiplantae; Streptophyta; Magnoliopsida; Poales; Poaceae.